GAUCAUGGCUCAGGAUGAACGCUAGCGACAGGCUUAACACAUGCAAGUCGAGGGGCAGCGGGGUGUAGCAAUACACCGCCGGCGACCGGCGCACGGGUGAGUAACGCGUAUGCAACUUGCCUAUCAGAGGGGGAUAACCCGGCGAAAGUCGGACUAAUACCGCAUGAAGCAGGGAUCCCGCAUGGGAAUAUUUGUUAAAGAUUCAUCGCUGAUAGAUAGGCAUGCGUUCCA
RNAcentral lists this ribosomal RNA (231 nucleotides) under uncultured bacterium. Its description in RNAcentral is "partial 16S ribosomal RNA". It matches the Rfam family "Bacterial small subunit ribosomal RNA", at positions 15 to 240 of the family's 1533-position model. The record is from RNAcentral.